RNA transcript from Rhopalosiphum padi (bird cherry-oat aphid), 1608 nucleotides. It is a transcript of the gene named NADH-ubiquinone oxidoreductase chain 1-like, with no coding region annotated. Lineage: Eukaryota; Metazoa; Arthropoda; Insecta; Hemiptera; Aphididae. The record is from RefSeq and is a predicted model, not a curated record. The transcript has a single exon.
AUAUUUGUUAUAAUUAUUAAUUUUUUGAUUUUAUUUUUAAUAGUUUUUUAUAAGAGUUGCUUUUUUUACUUUAUUAGAGCGUAAAGUUUUAGGUUAUAUUCAAUUACGUAAAGGUCCGAAUAAGUUUUUGAUUAAAGGUAUUUUUCAACCUAUAGGUGAUGGGUUAAAAUUAUUUUUUAAAGAAGUUAAUUAUCCGAGUAAUAUAAAUUUUUUUAUUUUUAUAAUUUCUCCUUUAUUGGGUUUAUUAAUUUCAAUUUUUUUUUGAUUUAUUUAUCCUUAUAUUGGUAUGAACUAUAUUAUAGGAUUUGGUUUAAUUUAUAUAUUUUGUUGUUCAAGUUUAAUAGUUUAUAUUUUUUUAAUAAUUAGAUGAUCUUCGAAUUCUAAUUAUUCAGUUUUAGGUAUAAUUCGGUUUAUUUCUCAAAUGAUUUCAUAUGAAGUUAGAAUAAUAAUUAUUAUUAUAAAUUUAAUAUUUUUAAUUAAUAGUUUUAAUUUAAAUGAUUUUUAUAUCUAUCAAAUUAAUUUAAAAUUUUUUUUUUUUUCUUUUUUUUUUGUUUAUUUUAUUAUUAAUUAGAUUUUUAGCUGAAAUAAAUCGUUCUCCUUUUGAUUUUUCUGAGGGUGAAUCAGAAUUAGUUUCUGGAUUUAAUAUUGAAUUUAGAAGUUUAUCUUUUAUUUUUAUUUUUAUAUCUGAAUAUAUAAGAAUUAUAUUUAUAGGGAUACUAUUAUGUGAAAUGUUUUUUGGUUUGAUAAUAAAUAAAUUUUAUUUAAAUAUUUUUAUUUUGAUUUUUAUAUUUAUAGUUAUUUGAUUACGUGGGUUUUUACCACGAUUUCGUUAUGAUAAAUUAAUAUAUUUAGUUUGGAAAUUAAUUUUACCUUUGUCUUUAUUUUUAUUUGUCUUUAAUUUUUCUAUUAAAUUAUUUAACUUAUAUCAUUAAUUUAAGUAUUAAGUUAAUAGAAUUAAAUUCUAUUUUUUAUUUUCAAAAUAAAUAUUUUAAAUAAAUUAAUUAACUAAAUUAAUAAUUUAUCUCAUAACUUUAUGAUAUAAAAGUUAAUGAAAAAGUAAGAAAAAUAAAUUGUUGUAAAAAUUUGCCCUGUUGUAAUAAAUGGGUAUUCAACUGGUUGUAUCCCAAUUCAGGUUAAAAUAAAAAAUGUUAUAAUAAAUAUUCAGAAUAAAAAUUUAUUUAAUGGGUAAAAUUUAUUUCUUAAAAAAUUUUUAUUGUUUAAUAUAGGUAAGAUUAAUAAAAUUAAAAUUGAAAGUAUUAAAGCAAUAACCCCUCCUAAUUUAUUAGGGAUUGCUCGUAAAAUUGAAUAAGAAAAUAAAAAAUAUCAUUCUGGUUGAAUGUGAUUUGGUGUAAUUAUUGAAUUUGCUAUAAUAAAAUUAUUGUGAUCAUUUAGUAGGUAUGGAAAAAUUAAAGCUAAAAUAAAAAAUAUUCAUAUAAAUAUGAUUAAUCCAAUUAAAUCUUUAAUUAGAAAAUAUGGAGAAAAAGUAAUUUUAUCAAAAUUUCUAUUAAUUCCUAGUGGAUUAUUAGAACCUGUUAAAUGAAGAAAGAAUAAGUGAAUAAAAGUAAAUAAAAUAAUAAUAAAUGGUAAAAUAAAAUGGAUUGAGAAAAA